RNAcentral lists this ribosomal RNA (497 nucleotides) under uncultured bacterium. RNAcentral describes it as "partial 16S ribosomal RNA". It matches the Rfam family "Bacterial small subunit ribosomal RNA", at positions 28 to 507 of the family's 1533-position model. The record is from RNAcentral.
GAUGAACGCUGGCGGCGUGCCUAAUACAUGCAAGUCGAGCGAACGGACGAGAAGCUUGCUUUUCUGAUGUUAGCGGCGGACGGGUGAGUAACACGUGGAUAACCUACCUAUAAGACUGGGAUAACUUCGGGAAACCGGAGCUAAUACCGGAUAAUAUUUUGAACCGCAUGGUUCAAAAGUGAAAGACGGUCUUGCUGUCACUUAUAGAUGGAUCCGCGCUGCAUUAGCUAGUUGGUAAGGUAACGGCUUACCAAGGCAACGAUGCAUAGCCGACCUGAGAGGGUGAUAGGCCACACUGGAACUGAGACACGGUCAAGACUCCUACGGGAGGCAGCAGUAGGGAAUCUUACGCAAUGGGCGAAAGCCUGACGGAGCAACGCCGCGUGAGUGAUGAAGGUCUUCGGAUCGUAAAACUCUGUUAUUAGGGAAGAACAUAUGUGUAAGUAACUGUGCACAUCUUGACGGUACCUAAUCAGAAAGCCACGGCUAACUACGUG